RNAcentral lists this ribosomal RNA (301 nucleotides) under uncultured bacterium. Its description in RNAcentral is "partial 16S ribosomal RNA". It matches the Rfam family "Bacterial small subunit ribosomal RNA", at positions 509 to 807 of the family's 1533-position model. The record is from RNAcentral.
CAGUAGCCGCGGUAAUACGAAGGGGGCAAGCGUUGUCCGGAAUUAUUGGGCGUAAAGGGCUCGCAGGCGGUUUCUUAAGUCUGAUGUGAAAGCCCCCGGCUCAACCGGGGAGGGUCAUUGGAAACUGGGAAACUUGAGUGCAGAAGAGGAGAGUGGAAUUCCACGUGUAGCGGUGAAAUGCGUAGAGAUGUGGAGGAACACCAGUGGCGAAGGCGACUCUCUGGUCUGUAACUGACGCUGAGGAGCGAAAGCGUGGGGAGCGAACAGGAUUAGAUACCCCCGUAGUCCCUGUCUCUUAUAC